RNAcentral lists this ribosomal RNA (391 nucleotides) under uncultured bacterium. Its description in RNAcentral is "bacterial SSU rRNA". It matches the Rfam family "Bacterial small subunit ribosomal RNA", at positions 29 to 421 of the family's 1533-position model. The record is from RNAcentral.
AUUAAACGCUGGCGGCAUGCCUUACACAUGCAAGUCGAACGGCAGCACGGGGGCAACCCUGGUGGCGAGUGGCGGACGGGUGAGUAAAGCAUCGGAACGUAUCCUGGAGUGGGGGAUAACGUAGCGAAAGUUACGCUAAUACCGCAUAUUCUGUGAGCAGGAAAGCAGGGGAUCGCAAGACCUUGCGCUCUGGGAGCGGCCGAUGUCGGAUUAGCUAGUUGGUGGGGUAAAGGCCUACCAAGGCGACGAUCCGUAGCGGGUCUGAGAGGAUGAUCCGCCACACUGGGACUGAGACACGGCCCAGACUCCUACGGGAGGCAGCAGUGGGGAAUUUUGGACAAUGGGCGCAAGCCUGAUCCAGCCAUGCCACGUGAGUGAAGAAGGCCUUCGG